UCCCUGGUGGCUCAGAUGGUAAAGAAUCUGCCUGCAAUGCAGGAGACCCAGGUUCAAUCCUUGGAUCGGGAA
This 72-nucleotide transfer RNA is filed under the name Ovis aries (sheep). It matches the Rfam family "tRNA". From Rfam's summary of the family: Transfer RNA (tRNA) molecules are approximately 80 nucleotides in length. Their secondary structure includes four short double-helical elements and three loops (D, anti-codon, and T loops). The record is from Rfam by way of RNAcentral. Lineage: Eukaryota; Metazoa; Chordata; Mammalia; Artiodactyla; Bovidae.